UACGGAGGGUGCAAGCGUUAUCCGGAUUUACUGGGUUUAAAGGGUGUGUAGGCGGACUUUUAAGUCAGCGGUGAAAUCUCCGGGCUCAACCCGGAAACUGCCAUUGAUACUAAAGGUCUUGAAUGUUGUUGAGGUGGGCGGAACGGGUCAUGUAGCGGUGAAAUGCAUAGAUAUGACCCGGAACACCGAUUGCGAAGGCAGCCCACUAAGCAACGAUUGACGCUGAGGCACGAAAGCGUGGGGAUCAAACAGG
Molecule: ribosomal RNA, 253 nt
Filed under: uncultured bacterium
Lineage: Bacteria
Description: partial 16S ribosomal RNA
Rfam family: Bacterial small subunit ribosomal RNA
Source: RNAcentral